RNAcentral lists this unclassified non-coding RNA (496 nucleotides) under Penicillium chrysogenum. Its description in RNAcentral is "sequence contains 18S rRNA gene, ITS1, 5.8S rRNA gene, 28S rRNA gene". The stretch from base 140 to 292 matches the Rfam family "5.8S ribosomal RNA". Lineage: Eukaryota; Fungi; Ascomycota; Eurotiomycetes; Eurotiales; Aspergillaceae. The record is from RNAcentral.
GUUUAUUUUACCUUGUUGCUUCGGCGGGCCCGCCUUAACUGGCCGCCGGGGGGCUUACGCCCCCGGGCCCGCGCCCGCCGAAGACACCCUCGAACUCUGUCUGAAGAUUGUAGUCUGAGUGAAAAUAUAAAUUAUUUAAAACUUUCAACAACGGAUCUCUUGGUUCCGGCAUCGAUGAAGAACGCAGCGAAAUGCGAUACGUAAUGUGAAUUGCAAAUUCAGUGAAUCAUCGAGUCUUUGAACGCACAUUGCGCCCCCUGGUAUUCCGGGGGGCAUGCCUGUCCGAGCGUCAUUGCUGCCCUCAAGCACGGCUUGUGUGUUGGGCCCCGUCCUCCGAUCCCGGGGGACGGGCCCGAAAGGCAGCGGCGGCACCGCGUCCGGUCCUCGAGCGUAUGGGGCUUUGUCACCCGCUCUGUAGGCCCGGCCGGCGCUUGCCGAUCAACCCAAAUUUUUAUCCAGGUUGACCUCGGAUCAGGUAGGGAUACCCGCUGAACUU